UCAUAUGCUUGUCUCAAAGAUUAAGCCAUGCAUGUCUAAGUACAAGCCGUCCAGUACGGUGAAACCGCGAAAGGCUCAUUAAAUCAGUUAUGGUUCCUUAGAUCGUACCCACGUUACUUGGAUAACUGUGGUAAUUCUAGAGCUAAUACAUGCCGAUAGAGUUCCGACCAACUGCCGAAUUAACGUUCCCUCGUUUUUCCGGUAUUCGGAAGGAACGCUUUUAUUAGAUCAAAACCGGCCAGGUAGUGUCCCAUUCGUGGGUUCUAUCAGUGGUCCGCGCAAAGACUUGGUGACUCUGAAUAACUUCGAGCUGAUCGCACGGUCUCGUACCGGCGACGCAUCUUUCAAAUGUCUGCCUUAUCAACUGUCGACGGUAGGUUCGACGCCUACCGUGGUGGUAACGGGUAACGGGGAAUCAGGGUUCGAUUCCGGAGAGGGAGCCUGAGAAACGGCUACCACAUCCAAGGAAGGCAGCAGGCGCGCAAAUUACCCACUCCCAGCUCGGGGAGGUAGUGACGAAAAAUAACGAUACGGGACUCAUUAGAGGCCCCGUAAUCGGAAUGAGUACACUUUAAAACCUUGGUUUCACGAGGAUCGAUUGGAGGGUAAG
This 610-nucleotide ribosomal RNA is filed under the name Orthezia sp. IMV-2016. RNAcentral describes it as "bacterial SSU rRNA". It matches the Rfam family "Eukaryotic small subunit ribosomal RNA", at positions 24 to 559 of the family's 1831-position model. The record is from RNAcentral. Lineage: Eukaryota; Metazoa; Arthropoda; Insecta; Hemiptera; Ortheziidae.